RNA transcript from Acanthopagrus latus (yellowfin seabream), 4084 nucleotides. It is a transcript of the gene named paramyosin-like, with no coding region annotated. The transcript is spliced from 7 exons. The record is from RefSeq and is a predicted model, not a curated record. Lineage: Eukaryota; Metazoa; Chordata; Actinopteri; Spariformes; Sparidae.
CACUUACAGUCUUGUUCACUGCAGGUUAGACACACAUCACAGUAGCAGAGGUGUUACAAGUGUUGUAAGUCAGAAUUUUACGAAGCCAGGUUUUAUCCCAGCUAUAUCGAGGCAAGAUUUUCCCGGCGGUAAUUUCGUCAAGAUAAGAAGAAGAUGAGUGGAAGAGUCGGACAGUUUUCCCUGCUGUCCCUGCCAACCCUCCCAGGGAUUGAGAGGAAAGAGAAGAGAUUUGGAAAGUCAGUCGUAACUAGCAGUGGAUCUGUGAUAUCAGAGAAGUCCCAUGAUCGUGUUCUGGACAAACCCAGACCAGGAGGACAUCUGACCAUCCCAAAGGCGCCAGUGCCAACCAGGUGUUCUGCGGCCCCUCAAUCGCUCCUAGGGAUUGAGAGGAAAGAGAAGAGAUUUGGAAAGUCAAUCACAACGACUGGUGGAUCUGUGAUAUCAGAGAAGUCUCAAGAGUGUGUUCUGGCUAAACCCAGACCAGGAGGACUUGUACCCAUCCCACAGGCAGCCCUGCCAUCUGGGUGGUCUCCAGCCCACCCACCGCUCCCAGGGAUUGAGAGGAAAGAGAAGAGAUUCGUGAAGUCAGUCGCAAAGAGCGGUGGAUCUGUGACAUCAGAGAAGUCAGGACAGGAGUGUGUUAUGGAGAAACCCAGACCAGGAGGACUUAUACCCAUCCCGUCCCUGGACGCUCCGCAGACCCUGAAGAUGAAUCCCUCUGACAAUAUUAAUUCUGGAGAGAAGGAGAAGAAGGAGAAGCAGAAGGGGAAAGGAAUAAUGAAAGACAUCAAGGAGGAAACACGGGAGCUUGAAAAGGAAGUUACGAGGAACAUGAUGCAGGAAAUUGAGCAGUUUUCAGAAGAAAGUGUGGUCUCAGAGUGUUCAAAGUUUUCCUCAAAGGAAGUUGAGGAGGACAUUAAGAAGCUGCAGCCUGAGACUACAGAAGCUUUUCAGCUGAUGGACAAAAUCCAGCAGCAGCCCUCAGCUUUCAACGCAGGCAAAACCUACAGUGCUCCCAUUAAUGAGCAGCAGGAGAAAAGACCACCGACGCACGAUGAACUUGAGCACAUGCAGUCCGUUAUUGACAACCUCCAAAGCAAGCUUGAAGCAAAGAAAAAGUUUGCUUCCUCACUGCAGCAGACAGUCGGCCAGCUCAAUUCUGACCUGAAAGCAGAGAGAGCAAGAAACGAGGAACUCCAGAGUUCCUUGAAGGAAGCUGUCAGCCAGCAGCAGAAGGAAGCAGCGGACUUCGAGUUCAUGUCUCAGGCAAACCAAGAACUGGUAUCCGAAAUCAAUUUGCUGCAAAAUGAACUUGAGGCUGUCGAAAAACAGUGGCAGCUUGGUAAAAAACAGCUUCAGGAAGAUGCAGAGGCUCGCAGCAGACUUGAAGAGGCCCUUGAAAAGGAGAAGGCUCGUUACUCCCUAGCAUGUGAAAAGAUACAAAUGCAAAAGGAAGAGAGCGAGGAUCUCAGGGCUUCAUUUGAGGCAAUGGAGACAGAAUAUAAGAGACUAAAAUCUAAAUGCCACACUUUGUCUGAGUCCCAUGAAGAGGUGACGUCAAAGAAAAAUGACAGCAGACUUGAGGAGGCCAUUAAGAAGGAGCGUGCUGAAAAAGAGCUCCUGCAAGCGCAAGUGGCUGAUCUAAGGAAGUCACAAAAGGAUCUCCAGGAGACAAAAGACAGGCUGGAAGUCACAGUCACUGAAAUGACAGCUGAACAUGAAGAGCACAAGAAGGUGAUUGAGAAGCUUCAGUGGGAUCUGAAGGUCUCCUCGAGUAUGCUCAAAGAAGUAGCAGAGCGUGAGAGCGUGAGUCAUGCCGAAAUCAAUGCCCUUAAGAUACUCGUCAGUGAGCAGCAGGAGAAAAGUCAGCAGAAAGAUGAUGAAAUUGAAUCCAUGCGCUUCAAUAUUCAGGAUCUCAAAAGCAGAAUUGAAGCCAAGGACAACGUUGUUUCAUCACUGCAGGGCACAGUCGACCAGUACGCCUCUGACCUCAGAGACGAGAGAGCAAGAAAUUGUGACCUCCAGAGGGACUACGAGGCUGCUGUCUGCCAGCAGAAGAAGCAAGCAGAGGAACUGGAUCUCCUGACUCAGAAAAACCAGCAACUGGCUUCUGACAACAAAGGGCUGCAAGAUGAACAGCAGACGAAAGACAAGCUGAAAGCCACGAUCUCUGACAUGACAGCUGGUCUUAAGAAGUACGAGUCAGUGAUUGAGAAGCUCCAGAAGGACCUGGAGACGUCCUCUAGUCUGCACAAAGUAGCAGCAGAGCAUGAGGAGUUGCACCGUGCUGAAAUCAAGGCACUCAAGGAACUCAUCAGUCAGCAGCAGGAGAGAAGUCGGCAGAAAGAUGAUGAAAUUGAAUCCAUGCUCUCCGAUAUUCAGAAUCUUAAAAGCAGUAUUAAAACCAAGGAGAGCGAUUUUUCCUCCCUGCAGCAGACAGUCGACCAGUGCUCUUCUGACCUCAAAGACGAGAGGAAAAGAACAUACGACCUCCAGAGGGACUAUGAGGCUGCUCUCCGCCAGCAGAAGAAGGAGGCGGAAAUUCGCAGCGAACUUGAGGAGGCAAUCAAAAAGGAGAACGAUCGCUUCUCGAGAGCAUGUAACAAGAUAAAGCUGCAAAAGAAAGAGAUCACCGAUAUCAGAGCUCAGCUCAAGACAACGGAGACGGCAUACGAGAGAAUGAAAUCUGAACACUUCCUACACUCUGACAGCCACGAAGAGAUGGCAAGGCUAAACAGGACCAUCUCUGAGAGUCAAUCUACCAUCACUAAGCUUGUGAACAUGCUAGAUGAACUCAAAGUGGAGUCAGAGGCAAGACAGGGGAAACUUCUAGACAAGCUGAAACAGGAAAGGAAAAGAAACGCAGAGUUACAGCAGAAAGUUGAUGAGACUUCGGCUGCUCUGACAAAAGAGAAGACCAUGUGUGAGAAGCACCGUGUCGAGCUCAAGGAAUCUUUGACCAAACAGAUCGAGACUCUGGAGGAAAAGCAUCACUUUGCUCGGGCUCUUGAGAGAGUUCAGUGCAGCUUUUCCCAGUUUCAGGCGAAACAUCUGGCAAUGUCAAACUUUCAGUUUGGACACAUCAGUGACACUGAUUUCAGGCUCCACCAGCAAUACUGUAGCAAUAUACCGCAGUAGUGAUACACUGAUGAUGAGAAAGCAGUGUGACAUUUAUAAGAAACAUCCUUAGUACUAACCCUUAACCAUUGUGGGUUCUCUCCGGGUGCUCCGGCUUCCUCCCACUGUCCAAAGACACACCAAAAAAGUAAGGUUAAUCGGUUAGUCUAAAAAUGUCACAUUGCUCUCCAGAUCACAGUAGCUUGUCCCUGAACUCCUGAGCCCUAACCCUUAACCAUUGUGGGUUCUCUCCGGGUGCUCCAGCUUCCUCCCACUGUCCAAAGACACACCAAAAAAGUAAGGUUAAUCGGGUAGUCUAAAUAUUCUGUAGUUGUAACCCUACUUAAAGUCCCUGAACCCUAACCCCGUUACCCGACUUAAGCUCUUGGUCAUCUCCUUAAAAUUACAGAUUAGAUUGUAAACAUUGUUCUGUUCUGUGCUUACAGCAUCUGUCAUGCCGGUCCGUCCUGGGAGAGGGAUCCCUCCUCUGAUGCUCUUCCUGAGGUUUCUCCCUUUUUUUCUUUGUGGAGUUUUUCCUCAUCCGAGUCGAGGGUCUAAGGACCAAGGGUGAUGAGCAAUGCAUGUUUUUCACCACAGGGAGGCGCUAUUUACUACUCUAUCAGAAGACUGUGUAUAUAGAGCUGAUACCAAAGAUAUGAAUGAAUCCAUGUAGAUACUUCCCGGUCAGUCUGUCCAGUAUAUCCUGAACUUGAAUGUGAACAGAAGAGCAGACAGUCGCACUAACACUUCACUGAGCCGCCUCAUGACAGAUCCCGUGUUGGUAUCGAGCGACCGCACCCGAGGCCCGGAUUUCAUGUGGAUGGAAGGGAGAGUCUGCAAACCGCAGGAUCAGAUGCUCCACAGCCUCCUGUAGGUGGCAAUCUCCAUCUCCAGGUUCUGUUUGAUGCGCAGCAGCUGCUCGUAGUCGGUCUUGUUCCGUUGCAUGUCCAAACGCAGCUGAGACAGC